Transfer RNA from Alternaria alternata, 163 nucleotides. It matches the Rfam family "tRNA". From Rfam's summary of the family: Transfer RNA (tRNA) molecules are approximately 80 nucleotides in length. Their secondary structure includes four short double-helical elements and three loops (D, anti-codon, and T loops). The record is from Rfam. NCBI's taxonomy places the organism in Eukaryota, Fungi, Ascomycota, Dothideomycetes, Pleosporales, Pleosporaceae.
GGACACAUGGCCUAAUGGUAAGGCGCCCGCACACAAUGGCCUUAGCGUCGCCCGGCAUGAAUUCGCUGAAAUUGAGCAUGGGACAGCCAGCACAGAAUUUGCGAAAGUUCGGCACUGGGCAGUCGUGAUGCGGGACAUGCAAGUUCGAGUCUCGCUGUGUCCA